GUGGACUAGCAAAAUUACUAAGAUACUGAGUACUUAAAGUUACUUAUAAAAUACCGCUUAAAGAUAUCAACAUCUGUUCAUCUGUAAAGCACUCUAGAAGUUGUUUGCAAUUUUUACUGACAACUAAGUGAAAUAUAAAGAUAAAACAUUUGGAUCUUUGAUGAGCUUCAAUUAGAAAUGUUUUUUUCCAGAAUAUAUCAUUUUUCUAAUGAUAAAUGGUUUAGAUUGUGUUAAUAUUUCUGUUCCACAAUUGUAUUAUUUCCUUUUGCCCAUAGACUUUUUAUUCAUGCAUUUCUUCAAAAAAUAAAUAUUAUAUUGUUUCAUCCCAAUGCUUAUAUGGAGGCCCAGGAGGCUCUGCAUCCCAACCCCUCUGUUUUCUGUCUUACCUGCCAGGUCAGGAUGAGAAAUGCCAUUGGGCUUAUUGAGGCAGGGAUGGUGAGUCUAGCUUUCAGUUUCCUGUACCUGGCUGACAUGAUUUUCUUCACCGUCACUUGCUCUGGCUGGUAUUUGUAUCCAUAUAGAAAAAUAUAAACAUAACAAAAGCUUUGGACAAAUGAAAUCAAAUUCUAAUUCUAUUAGAAGGCACCUGAUGUCAUUCUCUUAAUGACUUUUUAGAGUAUUACUGCACAAAUACCCUCCACCAGGGGGUAGGGGAGGAAGCCUGUAUUCUCCUCUGUCUGCAUAUCUAGUACUUUGCUAGUGGCUGACUUGGUGCUCCAUAAACAUGCCGUUUCUUCCUGACACUUUCAUUUUCUUAAGCCCAUUAACAGCAUGAGAUAGACACAUAUGGGUGGAUUCCCAAGUCAGAUGCUUUGUUCUGAAACUAUCUUUAAAAUCUACUGUAGACUGAUUUUCAGACCAUUUUCCAGUGAUGGAAACAGGCUCUCCCUGUGAAUUUAUGCAGCCUUGUUUCCCCUAACGUUUCACCCAAAAUGAGGUUAGCCCUGGAAAUUCCAGUGUCCCUUAGCUACAGGGGCCCUCCACUGAGAAUGGCUUACUCCUAUGUGUGGUACAAGUAUUAUGUUUGUUGCCUGUUCACAUCCCAGGAAAAAUACUGAUUUCUGCUCCUGAAGUCAUAAAAGAUUAUUCAAUCAUAAGCCUUAUGUUUGGGAUUAUCUUCAACUAUAAGCGGCUGCACACAUUCAGCUUGUUCUUCCUGACUGAAGGGUCCAGAAGCAGACAGUCUAUGGGUGGGAGGGUAACUCACAAUGUCACCAGGGACCCAGUUCCUUUUCAUUUCUACUCAGUCAUCCUUGGCACAGGCGUGGUACUCUGUGUUACAAGAGGGCUGUUUGGUCCACCAGCAGCAAGAGGAAGGGAAAGGGGCAAUGGGCAAAGAUGACAUGUCUAUUGGCAAACUCUUCUAAAGAGAUUUCCCAGAGGCAGGACGAACUUCUCACCCAAAAUUUGGUUCAGAUGUUGAGACUGAUGAUACCAUAUAUGAAUCCACUAAGAAAGUAUGGAAAGGUUUAUUGCUUACAUAAUGAUCCAAAAAUAGCUUUAGAAUCCAGAGAAGAGAGACUGGCUUGGCGUUUAUUGUGGGUAGAGAUGAGGCUGGGGUGAAGGCUUUUGCACAGGGGUAGAGGCUUGUGGGGUUUAAAUUUCCCACCAAUUCCAAAGGAGGGAGCACCUGGGCCUUCUUUUCAGCUUCCUGGAUAUGGAACAAAAGGAGAAGAGGGAGUAAUGAGAUUUGAAUGCAGCCAGACAUCAGAAAUGUAGUCAGACUCUUUAUUGCACUGUCUCAAUACCCUUCUCCUGGCAUCUUACAGCAGGCUGAGAAAUGUGGUGUUUUAGUGGCCACAAUGGAGGGCUGUUAGCACAGGAGUGCAGGAUGGAGGUGAGCGGGGGGGCAGGCAGCAGACUCUGCCAGCCCAGCCAUCUCGUCUUUCCUGCUGACCUCCAUUCAAAGAUGAAAAGUGACCUUGGCUUAAAAAUAAUUCUGCAGUUGAAAAGCAAGUCACUUGGGAAGAUCUGCAAGUUAAAGCCCUACCAAUAGUUUUCAAAUAUGACAAUAAAUGUCUGGGUGGUGAUGAAGGGUGACUUGCAGAAGCACCAUUUUCCAUUGAGAAGGUGGUUAUUGGCUUGCUAUUAAUCUCUGGUUCCAUCUUAGUCCCUGCACACCCUAGGAUUCAAGGACUCAAGUAAGUUGGGGAGGGGAACAUCUUUUCACCCCUGGAAAACCUUGUCUCCUCCCAAGCCCUGGGAGGGGAGAACUGCUGCUAAUGAGAUGCUGGUAGUUAGUCUUGUAAUUUUUACAGUAUUAUCUGCAGAAUGAAUGACUACCAGCAGGUACUCUGAAUCUCUUUUCUUUCUAAUAAGAUGUAAUCAACGAACCAGAUUGUGGCCUUGGAGCUGACCAAAGGAUCAGCUAAAGGAAUUGGACACAUCCUGAGCUAGUUAACACAUGGGUAUUGUCGGUCUAAGAUGCUCUUUAGGGGCUAGUGACUCAUUCAUGAUGUGCAGGAAAUGGCACAGACACCUCCAUGACCACAGAAGGUUUCUACAGGCGCCGUCAUCACAGGGUCUACAAACAGAAGGAAGUCAGAGAGAGAGGCUCAGGGGAAGGCAAGGCGGGGCUGGAGACCUGGAUUCUACGUCGGAGUUUACCGCAUCCUGGUUCUAUUCCCAAAGUCCUCUCUGUGUGGCCAUAUGCCUGAUUCUCAGCCUGUACAGUUGAUUCAGAGUUAAACCACAAUAAGACAACAAUAGAAGAGGUGGGGGGUAAUACAAGCCAGCAUGCCACACAUUGAUGAAUGAUCCGGCGAGGCUUUCAAAGCAAGGCGGGAUUACUCUGGUUGCAGUGGGCUGGAGAAGGUAACUGUACUUAGCAGAUAUUGCUUUUCUAUUUGCCAGCCCACACUGUCAACAGUGGAAAACAGUCAUUAUCAUAUCCCUUCUUUGACGGGAAUUGCCACAAAAUAGUUCACUUGGUAAAAGCCUGUCUGAGGUGAACCAGGAACAAACGGUGUGUAUUUAACAUGU
Molecule: long non-coding RNA, 2982 nt
Filed under: Homo sapiens (human)
Lineage: Eukaryota; Metazoa; Chordata; Mammalia; Primates; Hominidae
Description: non-protein coding lnc-ETS2-11:1
Source: RNAcentral